Molecule: ribosomal RNA, 500 nt
Filed under: uncultured bacterium
Lineage: Bacteria
Description: partial 16S ribosomal RNA
Rfam family: Bacterial small subunit ribosomal RNA
Source: RNAcentral
AUUGAACGCUGGCGGAAUGCUUUACACAUGCAAGUCGAACGGCAGCACGGACUUCGGUCUGGUGGCGAGUGGCGAACGGGUGAGUAACAUAUCGGAACGUAUCCAAUAAUGGGGGAUAACGAGUCGAAAGAUUCGCUAAUUCCGCAUACGCCCUACGGGGGAAAGCUGGGGACCUUCGGGCCUGGCGUUAAUGGAGCGGCUGAUAUCUGAUUAGCGAGUUGGUGAGGUAAAGGCUCACCAAGGCGACGAUCAGUAGCUGGUCUGAGAGGACGACCAGCCACACUGGAACUGAGACACGGUCCAGACUCCUACGGGAGGCAGCAGUGGGGAAUUUUGGACAAUGGGCGCAAGCCUGAUCCAGCCAUUCCGCGUGAGUGAAGAAGGCCUUCGGGUUGUAAAGCUCUUUCGCAAGGGAAGAAAACUUAGCCACUAACAUUGGUUGAGGUUGACGGUACCUUGAUAAGAAGCACCGGCCAACUACGUGCCAGCCGCCGCCGUAA